UACGAAGGGUGCAAACGUUGCUCGGAAUUAUUGGGCGUAAAGCGCGCGUAGGCGGUUCGUUAAGUUCGUUGUGAAAGCCCCGGGCUCAACCUGGGAACUGCAAUGGAAACUGGCGGGCUUGAGUGUGGCAGAGGGGGGUGGAAUUCCGCGUGUAGCAGUGAAAUGCGUAGAGAUGCGGAGGAACACCGAGGGCGAAGGCAGCCCCCUGGGCCAACACGGACGCUCAGGCACGAAAGCGUGGGAGCAAACAGG
This 252-nucleotide ribosomal RNA is filed under the name uncultured bacterium. Its description in RNAcentral is "partial 16S ribosomal RNA". It matches the Rfam family "Bacterial small subunit ribosomal RNA", at positions 524 to 776 of the family's 1533-position model. The record is from RNAcentral.